UGCAAUUACUCACCAUGACUGCUCCUUUUGACCCACUGGACAGUCCAGGAUGACUGGCCAGGAUGCUGUCAUUUUUAGUCGAAACUCCACUGAGGGAAGUUUAGAACUGAAGCUGCGAAGCUAGUGUGAUAAACUAAGGU
This is a long non-coding RNA of Colossoma macropomum (tambaqui), 140 nucleotides long. RefSeq lists it as uncharacterized. The record is from RefSeq and is a predicted model, not a curated record. The transcript has 3 exons. NCBI's taxonomy places the organism in Eukaryota, Metazoa, Chordata, Actinopteri, Characiformes, Serrasalmidae.